GAAGAUACUGUCACAUGGAAGUGGUUUUUGAACACAUUGAAGGAGGAUCUGAACAUACAAAACACAGCACCAUGGACAUUGAUGAGUGAUAGGCAGAAGGGCUUGAUCAAUGCUGUCAAUGCAAUGUUUCCUGAUGCACAACAUAGAUUUUGUGUGAGGCAUCUGCAUCAAAACUUUGCAAAAAACUGGAAAGGUGAUGUAUUCAAGAAUAAAUUGUGGCAAAUUGCAAGAGCUACACAUGAGGCAGACUGGAAGAAGUACAUGCAAGAGAUGAAAGAGUUGGACCAGGGGGCCUAUGAGUAG
RNAcentral lists this ribosomal RNA (303 nucleotides) under Triticum aestivum (bread wheat). RNAcentral's name for it is "partial small subunit ribosomal RNA". The record is from RNAcentral. Lineage: Eukaryota; Viridiplantae; Streptophyta; Magnoliopsida; Poales; Poaceae.